Molecule: unclassified non-coding RNA, 285 nt
Filed under: Peniophora sp.
Lineage: Eukaryota; Fungi; Basidiomycota; Agaricomycetes; Russulales; Peniophoraceae
Description: partial contains 5.8S ribosomal RNA, internal transcribed spacer 2, and large subunit ribosomal RNA
Source: RNAcentral
CGCACCUUGCGCCCCUUGGCAUUCCGAGGGGCACGCCUGUUCGAGUGUCGUGAACUCCUCCACCCUCUACCUUUUUCGAAAGGCAUUGGGCUGGGAUUUGGGAGCUUGCGGGUCCCUGGUCGAUCCGCUCUCCUUGAAUACAUUAGCAGAGCCCCUGCGGCCCCGGUGUGAUAGUAUCUACGCCUUGGCUUAGCGCAUAUGGUGGGCACGGCUUCCAACCGUCUUGCAAGGGACAACGACUACCAACUUGACCUCGAAUCAGGCGGGACUACCCGCUGAACUUAA